Molecule: long non-coding RNA, 568 nt
Filed under: Gorilla gorilla gorilla (western lowland gorilla)
Lineage: Eukaryota; Metazoa; Chordata; Mammalia; Primates; Hominidae
Description: lncRNA (ENSGGOG00000044529.1)
Source: RNAcentral
GUGACAUUUGCCUGCAACAUCUGGUCCCCUGGGAGGUCAGUGCAGGGUUCCUCCAUCUUGACAUGAGUAAAUUCUAGAUUAGGUAUUUGGCAGUUAACUCAUCUGGAUAUAUGGGAACAGAAGUGCCAGACACGUAGAUAAUAUUUGGAGAACAGGAGCAGACUUGGAACAUGCUGAAUAGAGGACAAGGAAGUGGAUAUUUGGACAAAUAUAACCAGUGACCAGAACACAACAGAUGCCAAUAACAUUAAGACCCUGAAAGCAGAGGAUGCAGCCCGUGGAGCUCUGGAAGAUGAAAGAAUUAUACUUUGGUGAAGUCCAGUAAUUCAAGUGUUUGGCUAACAAUCAUCAAGGCCACAAAAACCCAGCCUCUGCUCUUGGCAGUAUCAGGAACUUCAUGGAAUACAUCACUUUCAAAUUGCAGCUGCAAAUGGUCUUGUUAAAGGUAUCAUCAGACAAACUUAAAGAUGAUCUGACAAUGUCAUUUUCCAAGGGACUGAUAGAAAGAUUGAGUAUCAUGAAAUCAGAACAGACAACAGAGAAUCAGAUUUGGACUGAAUCAGAAUAA